Molecule: small nuclear RNA, 115 nt
Organism: Echinops telfairi (small Madagascar hedgehog)
Lineage: Eukaryota; Metazoa; Chordata; Mammalia; Afrosoricida; Tenrecidae
Gene: U5
Rfam family: U5 spliceosomal RNA
About the family: U5 RNA is a component of both types of known spliceosome. The precise function of this molecule is unknown, though it is known that the 5' loop is required for splice site selection and p220 binding, and that both the 3' stem-loop and the Sm site are important for Sm protein binding and cap methylation.
Source: Ensembl
AUACUCUUGUUUCUCUUCAUAUCAUAUAAAUCUUUCAGCUUUUUCUAAAGAUUUCCAUGGAGAGGAACAAGGAAGAGUUCAGAACUAAUUUUUUUCAGUCCUGCUCUGCAGGACU